Molecule: ribosomal RNA, 633 nt
Filed under: Klebsiella pneumoniae
Lineage: Bacteria; Pseudomonadati; Pseudomonadota; Gammaproteobacteria; Enterobacterales; Enterobacteriaceae
Description: bacterial SSU rRNA
Rfam family: Bacterial small subunit ribosomal RNA
Source: RNAcentral
ACAGAGAGCUUGCUCUCGGGUGACGAGCGGCGGACGGGUGAGAAUAGUCUGGGAAACUGCCUGAUGGAGGGGGAUAACUACUGGAAACGGUAGCUAAUACCGCAUAACGUCGCAAGACCAAAGUGGGGGACCUUCGGGCCUCAUGCCAUCAGAUGUGCCCAGAUGGGAUUAGCUAGUAGGUGGGGUAACGGCUCACCUAGGCGACGAUCCCUAGCUGGUCUGAGAGGAUGACCAGCCACACUGGAACUGAGACACGGUCCAGACUCCUACGGGAGGCAGCAGUGGGGAAUAUUGCACAAUGGGCGCAAGCCUGAUGCAGCCAUGCCGCGUGUGUGAAGAAGGCCUUCGGGUUGUAAAGUACUUUCAGCGGGGAGGAAGGCGAUAAGGUUAAUAACCUUGUCGAUUGACGUUACCCGCAGAAGAAGCACCGGCUAACUCCGUGCCAGCAGCCGCGGUAAUACGGAGGGUGCAAGCGUUAAUCGGAAUUACUGGGCGUAAAGCGCACGCAGGCGGUCUGUCAAGUCGGAUGUGAAAUCCCCGGGCUCAACCUGGGAACUGCAUUCGAAACUGGCAGGCUAGAGUCUUGUAGAGGGGGGUAGAAUUCCAGGUGUAGCGGUGAAAUGCGUAGAGAUC